RNAcentral lists this ribosomal RNA (373 nucleotides) under uncultured bacterium. Its description in RNAcentral is "bacterial SSU rRNA". It matches the Rfam family "Bacterial small subunit ribosomal RNA", at positions 524 to 896 of the family's 1533-position model. The record is from RNAcentral.
UACGAAGGUGGCAACCGUUGCUCGGAUUCACUGGGCAUAAAGCGCGCGUAGGUGGUUUGGCAGGUCACUGGUGAAAUCCCCCGGCUUAACCGGGGAACAGCCGGUGAAACCUUCAGGCUUGAGGCCGGGAGGGGAGAGUGGAACUCUUGGUGUAGCGGUGAAAUGCGUAGAUAUCAAGAGGAACGCCGGUGGCGAAAGCGACUCUCUGGACCGGACCUGACACUGAGGCGCGAAAGCUAGGGGAGCAAACAGGAUUAGAUACCCUGGUAGUCCUAGCUGUAAACGAUGGGCACUGGGUAGGGGUGGUCCUAUGCCGUCCCUGCCGAAGCAAAUGUAUUAAGUGCCCCGCCUGGGGAGUAUGGUCGCAAGGCUA